Molecule: non-coding RNA, 1123 nt
Organism: Nothobranchius furzeri (turquoise killifish)
Lineage: Eukaryota; Metazoa; Chordata; Actinopteri; Cyprinodontiformes; Nothobranchiidae
Source: RefSeq, a predicted model, not a curated record
UAAAUGAGUGUCUAAUAGUGUUUUAAAUGUGUGCAUUCUUUAUUUUAGCAUUUUGGUGCAUUUUCUUUAAAAAUUAAAAAUUCUGUCUAAAAACCACAGUAAUGCGCCACCUUCAGCUGAAAACAUAGAAUUUUUGUCAUUUUGAAUAAAUUUUAGCCAAUGGCUAAAGAGUAAAGUACUACGUAAACCAGUAGAGUACUACGUAGCAGCUCCGUGCCAAAGUUAUAAAAGCAACGAGCGUCUCGGCCACGCCCUGUGGCGAGUGGGAGUUGGAUUUGCAAGCGAGCAUAGGAGGUCAGCGGUAGUUCAGCAUUAGCAUAUAGCAUUAGCAUAUCCUAGUCUUAGCAUAUCUUUUAGUGUUAUAAAUACUUAUUUAGUGUUAGAUUUGGCUGUUGGAUAUUGUAGUUGAGUUAGUGUUUGGCUGUUAGUGUAAUUGGGAAAGUAUUUCUGGUUUAGUGUUCCAUAUCGUCUUAGUAUUGGUGAGUAGGUGUAGUGUAGUAUGCUUGCGGUGACUCUGUGGGCAUUUUACCCGCGAUUCUGCGCGCCUCCGUUUGAAGAGGGAGGCUGCCCACCGUGGCUCUUCCGCGAUUUAGAUGCAGCCCACCGACUCUGCUCCCCCACCACGGCGGGCUCCAGUCUGAGGCUAAAUCUACCCAAGACACUGGCUGUCAGACUGAUUUAGCUGCAUGAAUGUACUUGUCCAGGCUGAUGUGAAACCUUCCCUGUAGCAAAGCCAUCCAGUUUAGAGCUCACAGCCGCAGUGUGUCUGGUGACCCACAGGGACCAUGAUGAAAAUUCAUCUUCCAGAAGGUCCCAGAGCGUCCAGACCCCCUGAAAAGACCAAGAUGUGAGGUGUCUGCUGUUGAUUCCAGCUUCCACCUCAGUGACAGUGCAAGCUCAGUGAACUGUUCAAGCCUGGCUGAUCACCUGAUAACUCCUGUCAUCUGGUUAUGACAGCAUGAGGAUGUCCUCACACACCUGUAACCUAUCAGCUCAUCCUGCUGAAUAGAGAGAGAAGAGACAAUACCACAUCUCCUGUUCCUGGAAAGCCUUCAGCCAUCCUUCGAUGACUGAGAACCUCCAUCAGCUCUGUCUCCUGUCUGCCUACAAUUAUAAUAAAUAU